GAGAAUUUUGGUUUAGAGCUAAAAUAAGUUUAAUACUUCUUUAAAAAGUUAUCAUAAUUGGCUUAAGUUUAUGUUUAAUUCAUUUAAUGCAUUAAAAGCGUCUUAUUCAUUCACAAUCUCUUGUCAAACAAUGUUUAUUCUCGGACUCAUUUUCGUAAAUUUUUCUACGGCCGCCAUUGCACAUUUUUGUGUAAACUACGGAUCGGAACCGGACCAGAUAUGACAAAAAUCCGCAUUUUCACGAUAAUGACAACAGAUGGACAGUAGACAGAAAAAAUAUACCAAUAGAGAAAACUACGCAU
This 302-nucleotide long non-coding RNA is filed under the name Mytilus galloprovincialis (Mediterranean mussel). The record is from RNAcentral. Lineage: Eukaryota; Metazoa; Mollusca; Bivalvia; Mytilida; Mytilidae.